RNAcentral lists this transfer RNA (63 nucleotides) under Homola orientalis. RNAcentral describes it as "tRNA-Asp". The record is from RNAcentral. Lineage: Eukaryota; Metazoa; Arthropoda; Malacostraca; Decapoda; Homolidae.
AAGAAAUUAGUUAAUUCAUAACAUUAGUUUGUCAAGCUAAAAUUAUCUAAUAGAUAUUUCUUA